GUCGAGAAUCUUUGGCAAUGGGCGAAAGCCUGACCAAGCGACGCCGCGUGGAGGAUGAAGGCCUUCGGGUCGUAAACUCCUGUUGGGGGGCAUGAUGCGGGCAAGUGCUAACACCAUUUGCCCGUGACUUCAACCCCUGAGGAAGCCACGGCUAACUCUGUGCCAGCAGCCGCGGUAAGACAGAGGUGGCUAGCGUUGUUCGGAAUCACUGGGUUUAAAGAGCACGUAGGCGGUCGGGCAUGUCCGGUGUGAAAGCCCCCGGCCCAACCGGGGAAUUGCGCCGGAAACUAUCCGACUCGAGGGCAGGAGAGGAGAGUGGAACUCCAGGUGUAGCGGUGAAAUGCGUAGAUAUCUGGAGGAACGCCGGAGGCGAAAGCGACUCUCUGGACUGUCCCUGACGCUGUGGUGCGAAAGCCAGGGGAGCGAACGGGAUUAGAAACCCUUGUAGUCC
RNAcentral lists this ribosomal RNA (451 nucleotides) under uncultured bacterium. Its description in RNAcentral is "bacterial SSU rRNA". It matches the Rfam family "Bacterial small subunit ribosomal RNA", at positions 354 to 796 of the family's 1533-position model. The record is from RNAcentral.